Long non-coding RNA from Ruditapes philippinarum (Manila clam), 453 nucleotides. RefSeq lists it as uncharacterized. Lineage: Eukaryota; Metazoa; Mollusca; Bivalvia; Venerida; Veneridae. The record is from RefSeq and is a predicted model, not a curated record. The transcript is spliced from 3 exons.
CCGGGAUUUACCGAUAGGAGACCGGAGAAUAGUAAUUACCCAUGAUUCUAUUUUUAGAUCUUGGAAAUACCUUGAGGAUUUCCAAAUUUGUGGUAUUUGAAGCCUUUUUAGGGUUAAACUCCAUCCAGAAGGGACAGUGAAGGGUGAAGAAGCCCUAUCACACAAUUUGUUGGGGUAAUGAUUCGUCCAAGUUGGAUUAAGACUCCAUGUUCCUGACCUAAUUAAUGCAGCAUAAAAGAUGAAUGAAAAUUAAGAAAAAUAUCAGCAACAAAAACCCCAACAACAAUAAAACAUGUCAGACAGUGGGCCAAAUAGCAGAGAAAGACAGUAUGAUAUUAUUCCAAAUAAUUUGUCAGACCUUGAACAAGACUCUGUACCUGUUCCAGAAUCUAGACCCGCCCAUGGAAACUUCACAACUUCUCUUCACCAUGCCAACAUCGGAGAUAGUUACUC